GACGAACGCUGGCGGCGUGCUUAACACAUGCAAGUCGAGCGGUAAGGCCCUUUCGGGGGUACACGAGCGGCGAACGGGUGAGUAACACGUGGGUGACCUGCCCUUAGCUCUGGGAUAAGCCUGGGAAACUGGGUCUAAUACCGGAUAUGACUCCAUGACGCAUGUUGUGGGGUGGAAAGCCUUGUGCGGCUAGGGAUGGGCCCGCGGCCUAUCAGCUUGUUGGUGGGGUGAUGGCCUACCAAGGCGACGACGGGUAGCCGGCCUGAGAGGGCGACCGGCCACACUGGGACGUGAGACACGGCCCAGACUCCUACGGGAGGCAGCAGUGGGAAUCUCGCGCAAUGGGCGAAAGCCUGACGCAGCGACGCCGCGUGAGGGAUGACGGCCUCGGC
RNAcentral lists this ribosomal RNA (392 nucleotides) under uncultured bacterium. RNAcentral's name for it is "bacterial SSU rRNA". It matches the Rfam family "Bacterial small subunit ribosomal RNA", at positions 28 to 423 of the family's 1533-position model. The record is from RNAcentral.